CCGCAUGUCGCUUGCGUUGGUGUCCAUCUUAGGAUGGAUGAAAAGGGAAUGCGUCAGCGGGUGACCGUCAAACGCAGCCGCCCCCGCGACCGUGACCGGAGAGGGUGCCCAAAUGCCACUGGCCCGAAAGGCCGGGAAGGCGGGACAUCUGCCGGGGCAAACGCCUCGACAUCCGCAAGCCGGGAGACCUGCCAGCGCCCGAAGUUGAAA
RNAcentral lists this non-coding RNA (210 nucleotides) under Ruegeria sp. The record is from RNAcentral. Lineage: Bacteria; Pseudomonadati; Pseudomonadota; Alphaproteobacteria; Rhodobacterales; Roseobacteraceae.